GGGUUGUGAGGUUAAGCGACUAAGCGUACACGGUGGAUGCCCUGGCAGUCAGAGGCGAUGAAGGACGUGCUAAUCUGCGAUAAGCGUCGGUAAGGUGAUAUGAACCGUUAUAACCGGCGAUUUCCGAAUGGGGAAACCCAGUGUGUUUCGACACACUAUCAUUAACUGAAUCCAUAGGUUAAUGAGGCGAACCGGGGGAACUGAAACAUCUAAGUACCCCGAGGAAAAGAAAUCAACCGAGAUUCCCCCAGUAGCGGCGAGCGAACGGGGAGCAGCCCAGAGCCUGAAUCAGUGUGUGUGUUAGUGGAAGCGUCUGGAAAGGCGUGCGAUACAGGGUGACAGCCCCGUACACAAAAAUGCACAUAUUGUGAGCUCGAUGAGUAGGGCGGGACACGUGGUAUCCUGUCUGAAUAUGGGGGGACCAUCCUCCAAGGCUAAAUACUCCUGACUGACCGAUAGUGAACCAGUACCGUGAGGGAAAGGCGAAAAGAACCCCGGCGAGGGGAGUGAAAAAGAACCUGAAACCGUGUACGUACAAGCAGUGGGAGCCUCUUUUAUGGGGUGACUGCGUACCUUUUGUAUAAUGGGUCAGCGACUUAUAUUCUGUAGCAAGGUUAACCGAAUAGGGGAGCCGAAGGGAAACCGAGUCUUAACUGGGCGUUAAGUUGCAGGGUAUAGACCCGAAACCCGGUGAUCUAGCCAUGGGCAGGUUGAAGGUUGGGUAACACUAACUGGAGGACCGAACCGACUAAUGUUGAAAAAUUAGCGGAUGACUUGUGGCUGGGGGUGAAAGGCCAAUCAAACCGGGAGAUAGCUGGUUCUCCCCGAAAGCUAUUUAGGUAGCGCCUCGUGAAUUCAUCUCCGGGGGUAGAGCACUGUUUCGGCAAGGGGGUCAUCCCGACUUACCAACCCGAUGCAAACUGCGAAUACCGGAGAAUGUUAUCACGGGAGACACACGGCGGGUGCUAACGUCCGUCGUGAAGAGGGAAACAACCCAGACCGCCAGCUAAGGUCCCAAAGUCAUGGUUAAGUGGGAAACGAUGUGGGAAGGCCCAGACAGCCAGGAUGUUGGCUUAGAAGCAGCCAUCAUUUAAAGAAAGCGUAAUAGCUCACUGGUCGAGUCGGCCUGCGCGGAAGAUGUAACGGGGCUAAACCAUGCACCGAAGCUGCGGCAGCGACGCUUAUGCGUUGUUGGGUAGGGGAGCGUUCUGUAAGCCUGUGAAGGUGUGCUGUGAGGCAUGCUGGAGGUAUCAGAAGUGCGAAUGCUGACAUAAGUAACGAUAAAGCGGGUGAAAAGCCCGCUCGCCGGAAGACCAAGGGUUCCUGUCCAACGUUAAUCGGGGCAGGGUGAGUCGACCCCUAAGGCGAGGCCGAAAGGCGUAGUCGAUGGGAAACAGGUUAAUAUUCCUGUACUUGGUGUUACUGCGAAGGGGGGACGGAGAAGGCUAUGUUGGCCGGGCGACGGUUGUCCCGGUUUAAGCGUGUAGGCUGGUUUUCCAGGCAAAUCCGGAAAAUCAAGGCUGAGGCGUGAUGACGAGGCACUACGGUGCUGAAGCAACAAAUGCCCUGCUUCCAGGAAAAGCCUCUAAGCAUCAGGUAACAUCAAAUCGUACCCCAAACCGACACAGGUGGUCAGGUAGAGAAUACCAAGGCGCUUGAGAGAACUCGGGUGAAGGAACUAGGCAAAAUGGUGCCGUAACUUCGGGAGAAGGCACGCUGAUAUGUAGGUGAAGUCCCUUGCGGAUGGAGCUGAAAUCAGUCGAAGAUACCAGCUGGCUGCAACUGUUUAUUAAAAACACAGCACUGUGCAAACACGAAAGUGGACGUAUACGGUGUGACGCCUGCCCGGUGCCGGAAGGUUAAUUGAUGGGGUCAGCGCAAGCGAAGCUCUUGAUCGAAGCCCCGGUAAACGGCGGCCGUAACUAUAACGGUCCUAAGGUAGCGAAAUUCCUUGUCGGGUAAGUUCCGACCUGCACGAAUGGCGUAAUGAUGGCCAGGCUGUCUCCACCCGAGACUCAGUGAAAUUGAACUCGCUGUGAAGAUGCAGUGUACCCGCGGCAAGACGGAAAGACCCCGUGAACCUUUACUAUAGCUUGACACUGAACAUUGAGCCUUGAUGUGUAGGAUAGGUGGGAGGCUUUGAAGUGUGGACGCCAGUCUGCAUGGAGCCGACCUUGAAAUACCACCCUUUAAUGUUUGAUGUUCUAACGUUGACCCGUAAUCCGGGUUGCGGACAGUGUCUGGUGGGUAGUUUGACUGGGGCGGUCUCCUCCUAAAGAGUAACGGAGGAGCACGAAGGUUGGCUAAUCCUGGUCGGACAUCAGGAGGUUAGUGCAAUGGCAUAAGCCAGCUUGACUGCGAGCGUGACGGCGCGAGCAGGUGCGAAAGCAGGUCAUAGUGAUCCGGUGGUUCUGAAUGGAAGGGCCAUCGCUCAACGGAUAAAAGGUACUCCGGGGAUAACAGGCUGAUACCGCCCAAGAGUUCAUAUCGACGGCGGUGUUUGGCACCUCGAUGUCGGCUCAUCACAUCCUGGGGCUGAAGUAGGUCCCAAGGGUAUGGCUGUUCGCCAUUUAAAGUGGUACGCGAGCUGGGUUUAGAACGUCGUGAGACAGUUCGGUCCCUAUCUGCCGUGGGCGCUGGAGAACUGAGGGGGGCUGCUCCUAGUACGAGAGGACCGGAGUGGACGCAUCACUGGUGUUCGGGUUGUCAUGCCAAUGGCACUGCCCGGUAGCUAAAUGCGGAAGAGAUAAGUGCUGAAAGCAUCUAAGCACGAAACUUGCCCCGAGAUGAGUUCUCCCUGACCCUUUAAGGGUCCUGAAGGAACGUUGAAGACGACGACGUUGAUAGGCCGGGUGUGUAAGCGCAGCGAUGCGUUGAGCUAACCGGUACUAAUGAACCGUGAGGCUUAACCUUACAACGCCGAAG
RNAcentral lists this ribosomal RNA (2925 nucleotides) under Escherichia coli. Its description in RNAcentral is "23S ribosomal RNA". It matches the Rfam family "Bacterial large subunit ribosomal RNA". Lineage: Bacteria; Pseudomonadati; Pseudomonadota; Gammaproteobacteria; Enterobacterales; Enterobacteriaceae. The record is from RNAcentral.